GGGCCACUAGCUCAGCUGGAUAGAGUGUCAGCCUCCGGAGCUGAAGGUCGCAGGUUCGAAUCCUGCGUGGCUCGCCA
RNAcentral lists this transfer RNA (77 nucleotides) under Pseudodesulfovibrio piezophilus C1TLV30. RNAcentral's name for it is "tRNA-Arg (CCG) (tRNA-Arg-CCG-1-1)". It matches the Rfam family "tRNA". From Rfam's summary of the family: Transfer RNA (tRNA) molecules are approximately 80 nucleotides in length. Their secondary structure includes four short double-helical elements and three loops (D, anti-codon, and T loops). Further hydrogen bonds mediate the characteristic L-shaped molecular structure. tRNAs have two regions of fundamental functional importance: the anti-codon, which is responsible for specific mRNA codon recognition, and the 3' end, to which the tRNAs corresponding amino acid is attached (by aminoacyl-tRNA synthetases). tRNAs cope with the degeneracy of the genetic code in two manners: having more than one tRNA (with a specific anti-codon) for a particular amino acid; and 'wobble' base-pairing, i.e. permitting non-standard base-pairing at the 3rd anti-codon position. The record is from RNAcentral. Lineage: Bacteria; Pseudomonadati; Thermodesulfobacteriota; Desulfovibrionia; Desulfovibrionales; Desulfovibrionaceae.